RNAcentral lists this ribosomal RNA (672 nucleotides) under uncultured bacterium. Its description in RNAcentral is "bacterial SSU rRNA". It matches the Rfam family "Bacterial small subunit ribosomal RNA", at positions 8 to 679 of the family's 1533-position model. The record is from RNAcentral.
AGAGUUUGAUUAUGGCUCAGGAUGAACGCUGGCGGCAUGCCUAACACAUGCAAGUCGAACGGGGUUUAUAUGACAGAACUCUCCGGAGGGAAGAUAUAUAAACCUAGUGGCGGACGGGUGAGUAACGCGUGGGCAACCUGCCCUGUACCGGGGGACAACAGCCAGAAAUGGCUGCUAAUACCGCAUAAGCCUGCUGUGCCGCAUGGCACAGCAGGGAAAACCACGGUGGUACAGGAUGGGCCCGCGUCUGAUUAGUUAGUUGGCAGGGUAACGGCCUACCAAGACAACGAUCAGUAGCCGGCUUGAGAGAGUGGACGGCCACAUUGGGACUGAGACACGGCCCAGACUCCUGCGGGAGGCAGCAGUGGGGAAUAUUGCACAAUGGGGGGAACCCUGAUGCAGCAAUGCCGUGUGGGUGAAGAAGCACUCCGGUGCGUAAAGCCCUGUCAGCAGGGAAGAAAAUGACAGUACCUGGACAAGAAGCCCCGGCUAACUACGUGCCAGCAGCCGCGGUAAUACGUAGGGGGCAAGCGUUAUCCGGAUUUACUGGGUGUAAAGGGAGCGCAGGCGGCGUGGCAAGUCAGAUGUGAAAACCCGGGGCCCAACCCCGGGAGUGCAUUUGAAACUGCCAUGCUGGAGUGCCGGAGAGGUAAGCGGAAUUCCUAGUGUAGC